Molecule: ribosomal RNA, 3947 nt
Filed under: Triticum aestivum (bread wheat)
Lineage: Eukaryota; Viridiplantae; Streptophyta; Magnoliopsida; Poales; Poaceae
Description: partial small subunit ribosomal RNA
Source: RNAcentral
UACCUUAGGAGGUAGGUAUAUAGUAAAGGCCGGCAGUUGCUCUCGUUCGCGAGGCCUAGGCGAGGUAUAGAGAGAGACCGGCAGGUGGUCUUUCGAGCACCUAGAGUCUUCGAACGGCCAGCUGCUCGUCCGGCCGGCCAACGAGGGGCCGGUCCAGGCGAGGUUUCGAAGAAAGGGACGUUAGUCGUCCAGUAGCUAGCUGGAGAACCUGGCGUCCCUCAUGACCUUUUACCCCUUCUCUAACGAGAGUUUUUCGAUGUAGUGUACGGACCCGAACUGCUGUGUGUUAAAUCCUUACUCAAAUUAGUGGAAUACUCCCGGGUCGUAGGUUUAUAAUGGGUUAACCAACCGAUGACGAUAUUAGAUCCAGUAGUCGCGUAAUUCAUGCCACCACUUAUAUAAAAGCGGGAACACCUUCUUUCUCAUGAGACGAAACUUAUGAACGUUCCACCUUCGGAACUGUUAGUAUAAAGACUACUCAGCACACCUGAGCUAACCGGGUGUGCAAAGUUUUAAUAGUUCCCUCAGACACUCCCUAAUUUAAUGGAUGUAUUACCUACGUUUCUAGGUUAAAUGGUAGAACUGAACUUUGGACGCUUACAAAAUGACCUGUUCUUGUACAAGGGCUUUUAACCUCUGAAACCAAACAGUUCUGAGAAAGGAAAUAGUGUUUGGAUAUAUUGUUCGUUUUAAAAUCCUUGUGGACCUAUGUACGGUGGUCUUAUGUAACUCUCUGCGCUUUAGUGUAGCUUCAUACUACAUAAGUCAAACCCACAAUAUUAACACGCCUAUUAUCGUCCUCUACUCCCGAUGAGGUUUACACGUAUAUACAGAAACCUUCUAAAAGAACUCGUACAUGUACCUUUGACCCCUUUUGCCGACUUCCUUUGUUACCGCAACGUAUGUAGUCUCGUUCAAUUCUGCACGUAACUUUAUCGCAAUUCCACAUACCUCCAACUAGCACUCUUUUCCGGAUGAUAUCGUCUCUAACAGCUACUUGAUUUGAACCAACUAUGACGUCUUUCAAACGGAUGUCCGGUCCAGCGGUUGAAGGCUUCGUUCGUUUUGAGUUUGAGUCUCGCGGCUCCGUCUUAGCAUAAGAGACGGUGGAUGUCCGGGGGCCACGGUAAGCUGUAGAAGAGGACGGGACAGAGUGGAACCAGGUGUCUACUACUCGAGGUGGAGUGGCUACCGCACAGACUGUUGAUGUUGCCCUCGGGGUAGGGAGGGCGGCGCGACUUCUGGGAGGAGUUCUCGGGCUUCGACCGUUUGCUCCAACUACAAUGGCUGCGCCUACAGCUGUGGCCGCUGCAGAGACCGGACCAGAAGCAGAGGCUCUCCCUGUUACCGGAACUCUGCGAGAUGUAACGGUAUACGAAAUUACGACUAUUGUUCCAGUUCCAUAAGAGAGAACGACUGUAGAAACCUCGGCGGCUGAAGUCGUCGUACGCGGACCUCCUGUCACCGACGUAGCCGCCGCCGAUGGCGCACCCUAGAGUGUCGCAGCUGGUGAUAGAGUAGAAGCAGAGGUGUUUCCUCGGACACGUACGUGCAGCACCGGGAACCUGGUAGCACAUGUUUUGGUUGGAAUGUUGUCCGUACUGCCUCGCGGAGUGCGGUGUUCCCUAUAAACUAAACUCAGGCCGGCAAAGCGGGAGCCCCUUCUGCCAUCGUCACCGCAGUAAAGUCUCGUUCUCAACCUUGCCGCUGUAACUCUUGGACUUCUGACUGUAGAUGCACUACUUGAACCUAUCGCUGGUCACAGUCCCGGUCCCCGCGUUCGAUUAGUAGUUCUUACCGCCGACCGGUAGGACCCCGUCGCUGCUGUAGUAGAAGAAAGUAGCUGAGUGGUCAUACCGGGAAGAUAGCUCGGACUAACUUUGUAAAACCCGACACAAGGCCAUGCUGUAGUUGUGGCUCCUCUGGCAGGUCCAAUGAGGCCCUCCUAACCUACGCCACUGAGGACGCCGGUAUUCGCUCUGGUUUCAUCGCCACCGCUGGUAGGCGGUUCUCGUGUUCAGGUCGUUGCAGGCACACGUCCGUGUCAUGGCCGUGUAACUCUAGAAACUCUACCUACACGGCCCCGACGGUGGCCACGUCUAGUGGGCAUUCUACUCCGUUUUUCCGCUAGUGAUGUUGAGAAAACACGACCUACCACCCCCGGCGUAACCUAUGGUGGCGACGUCCUCACUCUCACUGGAACACGUCUUACCUCUGCUGCAGGGAGUCUUGAACGUGUCCGAUCUCAGGGGGUACUCCCUGCAGCCAAAUGAAGCCCAUAGACCGUACAAGGGCUGGUAAAGCUUCCUGCCGAGGUUCGAGCGGAAACAAUUGUCACUCAAGUUUCGUCACAAACAUCACCUGUCGGUUCCCGACGCAUAGUAUAUGCUCCUUUCCUCGGCUUUGACGCAGAAGAGGGGACACACCUUGGUCUUGGAGCUGUUCCUGUAGGAGAUACACACGUAUCCGUGGUGGAACUUGAGAGUGGCUGAACUCUAGAAGCGGUAGACGUUACGGAGACCGGGACGUUGUCCCGUUUUACAGCAUUCUGAGUGGUAACCACCCAUGUUGUUGCGUAUGGGCAGCUCGUUGGGUCUACCGCUGUUUAAACAGAAGUCCAGUUGUUCCCUACCUAACCGCGGCGUGUUCUUGGACAUGUAUUACAACGUGUCACUAUUGCUCGUUAAACCCCUUGUAAGCUUCUUCACCGUGUCUGUAUUACUUCUUAAGCUCCUUGGAACCGUCUGCGCCGACUGCUUUCCCUUCACCUGUCUAUGGGUAACGGUCACCAGGGGUUUGCCCCUGACCUAGCAGAAGAGUAGCUGCGCGCUGUUGGCCGACCUGGGCUCCGUGAAGAGGCAUAUGGACCACUUCCGCAAGCUGGGCUGCCACAACUAGUCCCACUGCUCGUCACCCCCACUAAAGCCGCCAGUUUAUUUGGUGGGUCACAAGUCGGACCUGCCCUCCUCGUAUCGGCACUGUCACGUAGAGCACCGCCGAAGGCACCUGGGCCAGAGUGACGGCUUGAAGUUCGUACCUCACGCCGCGAUAUCGCUGUAGAAGCGACACCUGCAGGUGGGUCUGCUGCUCCUCUUCUUUUACUUCUAUUUGCACUUCAACUUCAACUUCUUGUUCUGCCUCUUCCUUUUCAACUACCCUAAGGCGAAGGCGGCCUAGUGCGUGUCGUCCAUGCUCACGCCCUGCGGUCGGACCUGCUACCGGAAGCGGCGCUGCCUGUGUUUGCGCGACACCUUAUACAACGGUCUGUACCUCGUAUACAUGCGUGACCCACAGACAUGAUCUAGGCGUUCGGGAACUGUUAGUUAACAACUGAGUCAUCGAUGCAUUUUCGGCUACAGCUUGUUGUUCCCACUACGUCCUGUAACCCUUAGUUUCGAAGAACGUUCGACCAAGCUCUUAGUCGGGAAAGACCUAAGACCUUCGUUUUGAAGGUAAAGUAUACACUGACAGUUACUCGUAGCAACAUUACAACGACAACGACGACGACGACGACGAACCCUACCCCUCUUAGAUUACAUUUCUAAGAUUUAGGCACAUAUUAGACACCUGAAUGACUUGAUCAAGUCAAUUAAUCAUGACAACAAGAAAGAUCACGACUUCUAGCGGGUUAAACCUACAAGGUAGGAAUUCCCGUUUUCAACCGAUCCGUAUUGUUACGACAGUAACGACACCGUGUUCUACCACCGUUUGCAACCUUCUACCGUCCUAUAAGUGAGCUCCGACGAGGUAGCGCGACAGGACUCCUAACGGACCUUAGACCUCUACUUCACCUAGUCCAACCAUAGAACACAAGCUGUGGUUUUCGACGUAGCCGAUUGCCGAGUCGCUCGAGGGGUUCGCUAUCCGCUACGAACUAAAAGUAAAAGGCCAGAAAAGGAACAGGGACACGACUCGAUAAGACCCAAGUGUGAAAACCAACUCACUAC